Molecule: ribosomal RNA, 249 nt
Filed under: uncultured bacterium
Lineage: Bacteria
Description: partial 16S ribosomal RNA
Rfam family: Bacterial small subunit ribosomal RNA
Source: RNAcentral
GUCCUACGGGAGGCAGCAGUGGGGGAUAUUGCACAAUGGGGGGAACCCUGAUGCAGCGACGCCGCGUGGGCGAUGGAGUGCUUCGGCAUGUAAAGCCCUAUCUGCAGGGAAGAAAAUGACGGUACCUGACUAAGAAGCCCCGGCUAAAUACGUGCCAGCAGCCGCGGUAAUACGUAUGGGGCAAGCGUUAUCCGGAUUUACUGGGUGUAAAGGGAGCGUAGGCGGCCUGGCAAGUCUGAUGUGAAAUAC